GUGUGCGUAGCUCAGUGGUCAAAGCAUCCCUCCAGAUUGAGGUGGUCAUGGGUUCAAAUUCCAUUGCACACA
Molecule: transfer RNA, 72 nt
Filed under: Cronartium comandrae C4
Lineage: Eukaryota; Fungi; Basidiomycota; Pucciniomycetes; Pucciniales; Coleosporiaceae
Description: tRNA-Leu (CAG) (tRNA-Leu-CAG-6-1)
Rfam family: tRNA
About the family: Transfer RNA (tRNA) molecules are approximately 80 nucleotides in length. Their secondary structure includes four short double-helical elements and three loops (D, anti-codon, and T loops).
Source: RNAcentral